This 468-nucleotide ribosomal RNA is filed under the name uncultured bacterium. RNAcentral describes it as "partial 16S ribosomal RNA". It matches the Rfam family "Bacterial small subunit ribosomal RNA", at positions 28 to 506 of the family's 1533-position model. The record is from RNAcentral.
GACGAACGCUGGCGGCGUGCUUAACACAUGCAAGUCGAACGGAAAGGCCCUGCUUUUGUGGGGUGCUCGAGUGGCGAACGGGUGAGUAACACGUGAGUAACCUGCCCUUGACUUUGGGAUAACUUCAGGAAACUGGGGCUAAUACCGGAUAGGAGCUCCUGCUGCAUGGUGGGGGUUGGAAAGUUUCGGCGGUUGGGGAUGGACUCGCGGCUUAUCAGCUUGGUGGUGGGGUAGUGGCUUACCAAGGCUUUGACGGGUAGCCGGCCUGAGAGGGUGACCGGCCCCAGUGGGGCUGGGAUACCGCCCCGAACCCUCCGGGAGGCCGCAGUUGGGAAUUUUUCCCAAUGGGCGGAAGCCUGCUUCCGCCACCCCGCGUGCGGGAGUACGGCCUUCGGGUUGUAAACCGGUUUCGGCCUGGGCGAAAGGUGAGUGAACGGAAUGGGUAAAAAAACCCCCGCCAACCUCCGU